Molecule: ribosomal RNA, 451 nt
Filed under: uncultured bacterium
Lineage: Bacteria
Description: bacterial SSU rRNA
Rfam family: Bacterial small subunit ribosomal RNA
Source: RNAcentral
GACGAACGCUGGCGGCGCGCCUAACACAUGCAAGUCGAACGAGCGAGAGAGAGCUUACUUUCUCGAGCGAGUGGCGAACGGGUGAGUAACGCGUGAGGAACCUGCCUCAAAGAGGGGGACAACAGUUGGAAACGACUGCUAAUACCGCAUAAGCCCACAGGUCGGCAUCGACCAGAGGGAAAAGGAGCAAUCCGCUUUGAGAUGGCCUCGCGUCCGAUUAGCUAGUUGGUGAGGUAAUGGCCCACCAAGGCGACGAUCGGUAGCCGGACUGAGAGGUUGAACGGCCACAUUGGGACUGAGACACGGCCCAGACUCCUACGGGAGGCAGCAGUGGGGAAUAUUGCACAAUGGGGGAAACCCUGAUGCAGCGACGCCGCGUGGAGGAGGAAGGUCUUCGGAUUGUAAACUCCUGUUGUUGAGGAAGAUAAUGACGGUACUCAACAAGGAAGUG